RNAcentral lists this ribosomal RNA (256 nucleotides) under uncultured bacterium. Its description in RNAcentral is "partial 16S ribosomal RNA". It matches the Rfam family "Bacterial small subunit ribosomal RNA", at positions 384 to 632 of the family's 1533-position model. The record is from RNAcentral.
UGAUAGAGCGACGUCGCGUGAGUGAAGAAGGCCUUCGGGUUGUAAAGCUCUGUCACCGGGGAAGAAAGUAUUUAUGAGGAAAUGCAUAGAUAUUGACGGUACCUGGAGAGGAAGCACUGGCUAACUACGUGCCAGCAGCCGCGGUAAUACGUAGAGUGCAAGCGUUGUCCGGAAUUAUUGGGCGUAAAGGGUACGCAGGCGGCCCUGCAAGUCAAAUGUGAAAGGUCACAGCUUAACUGUGAGAAUGCGUUUGAAA